UACAGAGGUGGCAAGCGUUGUUCGGAAUUACUGGGCGUAAAGGGCGCGUAGGCGGCCUUCUAAGUCAGACGUGAAAUCCCCCGGCUUAACCUGGGAACUGCGUCUGAUACUGGGAGGCUUGAGUAUGGGAGAGGGAUGUAGAAUUCCAGGUGUAGCGGUGAAAUGCGUAGAUAUCAGGAGGAACACCGAUGGCGAAGGCAGGUCUCUGGGCAUUAACUGACGCUGAGGAGCGAAAGCAUGGGGAGCGAACAGG
Molecule: ribosomal RNA, 253 nt
Filed under: uncultured bacterium
Lineage: Bacteria
Description: partial 16S ribosomal RNA
Rfam family: Bacterial small subunit ribosomal RNA
Source: RNAcentral